CACCUUGCAACAAUCAAGCGAAGCGCUUAUCUUGGUCACGCCGGGAAACCGGCUAUGUCGGUAGAGUAUUUGGCGGAAUAGGCACUUCGGACCCGGGGGGCAGUACCCCGGCGCCUCCACCACCAGCGGCGAACGGAUUUAGCGCAGAAAUCCGCCGUUGCUGAUGGGGGCGAAACAGGAUCGACGGGUGCAAUAAAGACCAGGUUGCCGAUCGGUAUGAGACCACCGCAAAGGCUCGUUCACACAAGUGCCAACGAUAAUCAGGCUCUUGCGAUUGCCGCGUAACUGACGGCCUAACGGUCAUAAGUUACUAGGACAAAAGCGCGGUUGGACCCCGCCGGGCAACAGAAGGGGAUUCCAGCGGUACGGAGGGCACCGGGCAACAGAAGCCCUCCACC
Molecule: transfer-messenger RNA, 398 nt
Filed under: Sphingomonas sp.
Lineage: Bacteria; Pseudomonadati; Pseudomonadota; Alphaproteobacteria; Sphingomonadales; Sphingomonadaceae
Rfam family: Alphaproteobacteria transfer-messenger RNA
About the family: Bacterial tmRNA, also known as 10Sa RNA or SsrA, is named for its dual tRNA and mRNA-like properties. Its role is to liberate the mRNA from a stalled ribosome.
Source: RNAcentral